AGCAAUUCUCCUGCCUCAGCUUCCCAAGUAUCUGGGACUACAGGGUUUUUACCUUAAAUAACUAAUUACUGGCCAUAUUUGGGAAGUGUUGAAAAAAAGCAGACAAUCUGAGGAUGAUGUUGACUUGGGGAUCCAAAGGCACAGCAGAUCCUCUCUAUAGACUCUCUCUCUCACUGGCUUUGAUGAAUAAGCUGCCAUGCUGUGAGCUACCCUAUGGAGAAUCCAACAUGGCAAAGAACUGAGGCCCUUGGUCCAACAGCCAGUGAGGAACUCAAUCCUGCCAACAACUACAGGAGCAUGGAAAUGGAUCCUUCCCUAGUCAAGUUUCAGAUGAGACCUCAGCCCUGGCUGACACCUGGGUGGCAACUUCAGGAGAGACCCUGAACAAAGCACAGGACUCAGCUAAGCUGUGACUGGAUUUCUGGCCCACAGAAGCUGUGUGAUAAUAAAUGUUGUUUUAAGCAGCUCAGUUUGUGGUCAUUUUUUACAUGGCCAUAGAUAACUAAUAUAGCCAAGCCCCAAAUAAAGCCAAGUCUAGAAAGCACAUUUAUAUUUUUCCCUAUUAAAAAUGAUAACUUGGCUGGGCGUGGUGGCUCACACCUGUAAUCCCAGG
Molecule: long non-coding RNA, 613 nt
Filed under: Homo sapiens (human)
Lineage: Eukaryota; Metazoa; Chordata; Mammalia; Primates; Hominidae
Description: HSALNT0356578
Source: RNAcentral